Bombus pyrosoma is the source of this 1535-nucleotide long non-coding RNA. RefSeq lists it as uncharacterized. The transcript is spliced from 5 exons. The record is from RefSeq and is a predicted model, not a curated record. NCBI's taxonomy places the organism in Eukaryota, Metazoa, Arthropoda, Insecta, Hymenoptera, Apidae.
UACUUACUCAUACAUCGACAAGAUAGAGAUCAAUAAAACAUGUAUAUAUACAUAUAUGUAUACAUGUAUAGGAAUAUUAUAUAUGUAUAUCACGAUGUAUCACAGUGAUCGUCAGUUUGCAAGGCAAUACUAUGUAUCGAAUAUAUCGAAUCGAUUAAUAUCGAAUAUCUCAAGCAUGAAUCGAUAAUUUCAAUUUUAUUUUGCAUGCCGUUAUAUGUAUGAAUGAAAGGAAUUAGUUUAUAUAAUUGUGGACAGUUACCUUUCGAUUAACUCUAAGGAUAAAAGAUUUCUUGACAAUCUUGAACAUUGACAUAUACAAGCGUAGAAAUGAAACUGUCUUAAUGGUUCUGACAAUUGUUUAUCGAUCUAUUGAAUUAUGUAAUCGGUAAGGGAUAAUCGAUUAUAUUAAUUAAUCGACAUCUUCCAGUCACUCUGGUACUUCUCUCAUGAAAAUGUUCAUACUUCCAUAAUCAAUCCGUAACCAAAGAUGACACAAAUAUCCUUUGACCAGAUGUCGACGCUUAAAACGAACAGAAACGAUCGACGCAAAAGGAGAACAUUUUUUAAUACACCGAAGAUUUUCUACAUCCACUUGAACACGUUAUUUUUCUCUCUGAUUUUCUUUAAGCAAGAGUAAGGAAAAAAGGUCUAUAGAUGGAAGAAGAGAAAGAAGAGAAAUAUAACAUUGAGGAUAGAAAGAAGUGAAAGAAGAAGAGGAAAGAGAGGAGGUCGUAUUCGACUCUUGAUCCACCGAUUACUAGUUAUUUUACUCUGUUUAAAAUCGGCAAUCCCAGCAAUAUGCAUAUAAACUCAGUCCCUACUAACACAAGUCAGUGACAGAGAUGGUAAACGCGCGAGCAGCCACAUAUUUCUACUUUGUUCUUGUUUCUUUUUUUCUUUUUUCAUUUUUUAGCCAAGCGCUGUAGUUAUAUUCCUGGCUGAUUAUCGCAUUACUUUAUUAUCUAUCACUACUGCUUAUUACUACUAUCGUUAUCCACGUUAUUGACAAGAAAUUCGCUUCCAGUGAUAGGGACCUAAGUUUAGUUUUAAAUCUUGAGAAGAGGUGAACGUGAAACUCACUGAUCUCAAAUUAUCUUCUUCUUUGGUUUCUUUUUAAAAUUUACCUUCGAAAUUAACCUUCUUAUUAUUUAAGCGCUAAAUAUAUAUAUUCCGUGUAUUAUAUUUAUUUCUCAUUUAAAUGUAAGUUAAUAAAAAUACAAUAUACAUAUGAAAAUGCAAAGUUACGUUAAGGGAUGCACUUACCGGCUCGUGAAGAAGCUCGUGUUUCACUAAGGAAAAGCAGAAAAAAUAUGUUAGCAAAAAAGUUGCUGAGUUCUUUAUAAAAUUGUAGAAACAUCUCUAGUAAUAUUGAACACAUUAUCUUUUGUUACAUUAAAUGAGAUAAUAUGGUAUUUCGCUGCAUAUCGAUUUCUCAUUUCUCUUUCGAGCACAAUCAAACAAAAUUUAUAAAAUGAUCUUUAAAAAGAAGAUAUUGGUAUCGAAAUAUAUUUUACGGGACUAAGAAAAGAUGACGU